GCACUUACUGUACCACCCAGCUUUGUAGCAGUUCUGGCGACUCUGAAAAACCAGACACAACUUUCCAGUGACCUUAAAAAUAAAUUUGCUUUGGAGGAGAAAAUGAAAGGAGGCACUCUUGUUAUUUAGCCCCAAUGAAGGCGUUUGGGACUGAGAGUCUUAGCAGACCAGUGUUUAUUUAUUAGUUUUUGAGUUUCAUUUUUUUUUUUUUGGUUCCAUAUUCCUAGUUACUGUAUAAAUCCUGAAGUGUGUCUGUGUGAUAAUAUAACUACAAGUGUGUGAGUCUAUAUAAAUACACGUGUUUUGCAUAUGUAAUCUACUUUUGUUUUACUGAUAGUGGCCAGACUCUGUCCGGGCAUUACUGACAUUACCCAACCAUCUCCAUAUCUUUAGUGUUUAAGUGUAUGACACUGCUUAGGAGGGUUAGCGGAUGAACAGCAAUAUAUAAGGCGUGAACAUUUUCCUUUUCGGUUUUAUUAUAUUUUCUCUGAAUUAAAGGGAAUCUCUGCGGCAUAAUUUUACCUCCUGUCCUUUGCUCAGAUAACUUCUAUAGUUGUGACUUUGAUGGCUUCAUCAAUGGUCGAUGAGUUAAAAUUUAGGAAAAGGUGGAAUUGGGAAUAAAAGUCUGACUUAAUCUCAACAUGGCAAUUUCAUCCUAAAUUAAGGCUGAAAUCAAGCUAGGAAUAAAUUAGAGUUGGAGAAAUUGUAUUGCCAAUUCAGUUUUUUUUUUGUCCUAAUUUAUAUUCCUACAUUUUAAAUUUCACCGCAGGUUAUUGUUUCGUAUAUAUCCAACCUUCAUCGAUCACACUGACAUUAUCUCUCUAGAUGCAAAUAAUUGCUUAAAACAUACGCGCAUAUGCGUGUGUGCGCAUGUCUGUAUAUAAAUACACUGUUAAAAAAAUAAAAUCCUUUUUUCCCCAUUUUUAAAAAGCUUACUAACUUAUACUAUCUAUUUAUAUAUUUGUGAAUAGACAAGUAUGUUUUGUCUUACACAAAAGCACUAUAUUUACUUAAUUGAAAAGUAUGACUUUAUUUUUCUGUUGCGAACUUAUUUUAUAAACCACUUGAGUUAAAUACUGUAAUAUCCUUAUAACUGUAUACUCAUUGCAGUGGAUUAGUUCGUUUUACCAAUGUUCUGAUUCACCGAAGGAUAAAGUGGGGUAUUCUUAAAGUCAUUGUAUCGUCUCAACAUUCUAAAAAGAACAGUGAACAUAUAGAGUGAAAAUCUAGACACUGUAUUAACAGAAUAGGGUGCUAAUAUAUUGAUACAUUUUAAGUGACUUUAUCAUUUGCAGCCCUGUAUGCAAAUUAUUUACUAGAGAAAAGAGGAACUUGUUUUUAUAUGGUAGUGCAUGGUAAUAUAUAACAAAGGCAUAUAGACCCCUUGCUAUUCUUUACCAGUAUACAUUUGUUUAAAACAUAUUUAAUUUAAAUUGUAAACACUGUAAAGAAACAAUACAUAAAGUCUAUAAUGCAUGUAAUUUAUAUUCUCGAUCUAAAAAAUAUUUUUUUUUUAUUUUUUUUUAUACUCUCCACCACAUUGUCUUCAAAACAUUUAUAUUGAAUGAGAAGAUUACUUUUCAUAAAAAAAAUAGUUCAAAAUAAAUAAAUGGGACUAUUCAAAAAUGUAACAUUUUACAUCCGGUUACAGCGGGGCUGAUUAUUUCAUAAUCCCCCAUCUGUUACGUUUUGGUGGAUGUUUUUAUGUAGUUUAGACUGAGUUCAAUAUGUGCUGAAUCCUGGUUGGUUUUCUGUUAAUUUAAAGUGAACAUGUUUCUCUUUACUAUCUAGUACGGUAAAUUCGCUCUGUAUUGGCAUUGUCUGACAGCAUCCCUCUAUGCCUGGGUUUGAGAGUCCCUAAAGAGUGUAGUCCCUGCUAAGUGGCAAUGUGACCUAUAAAUAUAUGUAUUUAAUUAUAAAUAUUAUGUUGUUUUUUUUAAUUAUGAAAUGAACUUGAAUAUCACAAUGUAGACCAAUCUGUGCACUUCUCCAAACAUUGUUCUACAGUAUAUGCUGGAGAGAGCCGUUAUUUGGGGGAUAGUGUGGGGGUAGAGUGGAUUUAUUUUUUUUAAUCUGGUUGCCUGUUCUUGAAAACAAUGUCAGCUGUGAGAUAGCUUUUCAAGGACUCAAAAUCUGGGGUGUGAUUGUUACGCUUUCCUGCAAACUAGUGUUGAAAUAACAAAAUAUAUGUAGCAUUUUAUUUUUUCUUCUUCAUUUUGUCUUAUUUUUAUCAUGCCAAGCAAUUUUGUAUAACUGCAUUUACAAUCAUAAAAAAAUGACAAUAAAAUGUAAACCAUUCAA
Molecule: long non-coding RNA, 2301 nt
Organism: Pelobates fuscus (common spadefoot toad)
Lineage: Eukaryota; Metazoa; Chordata; Amphibia; Anura; Pelobatidae
Exons: 2
Source: RefSeq, a predicted model, not a curated record